Molecule: ribosomal RNA, 253 nt
Filed under: uncultured bacterium
Lineage: Bacteria
Description: partial 16S ribosomal RNA
Rfam family: Bacterial small subunit ribosomal RNA
Source: RNAcentral
UACGUAGGUGGCAAGCGUUAUCCGGAAUUAUUGGGCGUAAAGAGCGCGCAGGUGGUUAAUUAAGUCUGAUGUGAAAGCCCACGGCUUAACCGUGGAGGGUCAUUGGAAACUGGUUGACUUGAGUGCAGGAGAGGAGAGUGGAAUUCCAUGUGUAGCGGUGAAAUGCGUAGAUAUAUGGAGGAACACCGGUGGCGAAAGCGGCUCUCUGGCCUGUAACUGACACUGAGGCUCGAAAGCGUGGGGAGCAAACAGG